GUGGUGUUUGGAUCGUCCCUGCCGGCUGGCUCCGUGCCGGUCCACCGAACGGUCGGCAGGAGAUCCGCGUCGGUCGCGCGAGGUGUGAUGGUUGGUUACCCGGAGGCCGGUUCUUGUGCUGCCUACCCCCUCAAGGGAAGCAGGCCACCUGAUGUACGCCUCCAUCCUGCGCCUUCCAAGGGGCGCAGGAGGACAACGGAGCACCCCCCGCGUUCCACCGAGCCUUUGCCGGUCUCGUGGCGCGCGGGGACGUGCGAUGCUCUCGGACCCGGUGCACGCCGUGGGCGAGGACUCACGUCCCAGUCCCAAGAGAAGCCUCGAUGUAACGUAUGACGGCCGAUCCCGCCCCCCGACCGCCCCGGCGGCGCGGGGGCGAGGCGCGGCGUCGCGGAGGAAUGCUACCUGGUUGAUCCUGCCAGUAGUCAUAUGCUUGUCUCAAAGAUUAAGCCAU
This 451-nucleotide unclassified non-coding RNA is filed under the name Acacia hemignosta. RNAcentral's name for it is "partial external transcribed spacer". The stretch from base 400 to 451 matches the Rfam family "Eukaryotic small subunit ribosomal RNA", at positions 1 to 52 of the family's 1831-position model. Lineage: Eukaryota; Viridiplantae; Streptophyta; Magnoliopsida; Fabales; Fabaceae. The record is from RNAcentral.